UGCCGAAAAUUCAAAUAUACUAAUCAAGCCUAUCAUGAGGAGUGCCCCAUUUCCUUGGUUGUAUUAUACUUCUUCCGUCCCCUACAAGCAUUUUAGAAAGCCCAUGCACCUUUUCGCUUCCGAGUGUGCAAAGAUCACAAGUAUCUGGUAGUCAAGAUGUUAUUCCAGGAGCGAAGAGAUAGGCUACUAAAUAAUGCAAUUCGUCUGAUCAAAAUUUACCACACCUUCAGAAAAGCUAGCAGUAACGGAAUUUGAAAGAUUGAAGCCCCACCUCCUAAGAAGAGGAGAUAUAAGCAUAAGUUUACAAUAAUGGUUGUAAAGCCCCAUUCUGGAUCAAGAAGCUCUAUUGAUGGUGCAAGCUUUGGAGAUCAUCAUCAAGAAUCUUUAUUGAUGUGUGUGAG
This 401-nucleotide long non-coding RNA is filed under the name Elaeis guineensis (African oil palm). Its description in RNAcentral is "long non-coding RNA (EGUI_LNC016162)". Lineage: Eukaryota; Viridiplantae; Streptophyta; Magnoliopsida; Arecales; Arecaceae. The record is from RNAcentral.